GACAGAGGGUGCAAACGUUGUUCGGAAUUACUGGGCGUAAAGCGUGUGUAGGCGGCCACGUAAGUCGGAUGUGAAAGCCCCGGGCUCAACCCGGGAAGUGCACUCGAUACUGCGUGGCUUGAGUACUGGAGAGGUUGGUGGAAUUCUCGGUGUAGAGGUGAAAUUCGUAGAGAUCGGGAGGAACAUCAGUGGCGAAGGCGGCCCUCUGGACCAGUACUGACGCUGAGGCACGAAAGCGUGGGGAGCAAACAGG
RNAcentral lists this ribosomal RNA (253 nucleotides) under uncultured bacterium. RNAcentral's name for it is "partial 16S ribosomal RNA". It matches the Rfam family "Bacterial small subunit ribosomal RNA", at positions 524 to 776 of the family's 1533-position model. The record is from RNAcentral.